GUGUUUGUUUCUCCUCUGUGAUGCCUGUUUGCUAUCCCAGCCUGGGAGCCAGCUGAUUAUGGACUGAAACCUCUGCAAACUAUCAAGUAUAAAACAUGUUCCUCCUCCUGUUGGUAUCGAGCCUGGGAUUGAAGUUUCAUCAGACAUCUGGACCCACCAACAUGCACUGUGUGUUUGCAACGUGAAAAAGGUGGCCUGGGUCAUCAAUGAGAAAUACUACAUGCACUUGGGUACCAACAUCUACAUGAAUGAGCACAUGUGAGGAAACCACCAUAUUCUCAAAAAGAAGCUCUGCAACAAG
Heterocephalus glaber (naked mole-rat) is the source of this 301-nucleotide long non-coding RNA. The record is from Ensembl. NCBI's taxonomy places the organism in Eukaryota, Metazoa, Chordata, Mammalia, Rodentia, Bathyergidae.